GAAGGGAGCAGCCCUCUUGGCUGCUGUGGGCCGGUCCGAAGCGGUAGAGCUGCUGUAGAGCAGCUCGGGCUCGCCGAGGCAGGGCUGUGGCCGCCAAUCACUAAGACGCCGGCCUGGGAAAUCUCCGAUUUGGAGCUCGACAGCCCAGCGAGCUCCAACGCCGAGGGCUCCGGUGACCCAGUAGACGCGAGAGCCGGCUCCAGAGGCCUCGGUCCCUCUUCAGGGCCCGUGGCUACUCCGGUGCGAGUCCGGCCUCGGGAAGGGGCGGGGAGAAAGGUGCAGGAGGAGCCAGGCGCUGCAAGAGCCGAGGCCCGGAGAAGGUCCGGGAACUGGAGCAGCAGAGACGGAAGGAGGCAUCCGAGGCCCUCCGGAGCUGUGCACGGGGUCAGCAGGAGGCAUUCGAACCUGAUCAGAAGGAGCACUGGGAUGGCUAGGGAACUUUGAAAUUUGGAAUAGAAAGUGGUGGCAUCCUUCCCUUUCCCAGCUGGCUUUAAUCAUUAGGGAGCUUCUUAGGUGUGGGUCAGUGCUUGGAACGUAGGCAUUUCGCUGGUAUAUGGAGCCUCCCGUGAAGAAACUGUUUCCUGUGCUUCGAAAAAGCAAAAAUGAAGUGUGAGAUUACAUCCUAUCAGGGAAACAACAUGGGCACAUGCAUACCAAAUGCAAAAUGCAGAUUAAAUACAAGAUACUUUCAGGAUACGAAGAAGGCACUAGCAAAGUGGGGAGCAGAGCCACGUUGAAAGAGGUGGUUCUUGAGCUGAACCUUGAAGGCAGCUCGGGAAUUCUGUUCCAGGCAUGGAGUAAAGGCCCACAUGUGCAGUGUCAUCUGUGAGGAAGGGCUUGGAGGCCAGUUUGACCAGACUGGAGAGAGUUCAGGAAGGGCGAUAACGUGUAUCAAGGCUGGAAUGGUGAGCUGGAGCCAGAUUGGAGUGUUUUUUAUCUUAGAAGUGAGAGGGAGUUUUUACUGGAGCUUUUGGAACAUUUUAGACCUGUGCUUCUAGGAAUAUCAUUUUGGCAGUUGUGAAUGUUAGAUUGGAAAUAAAAGUCACUAGAGGAAGGGAGACCAAUUAGGAAUAUAUUUACUAUAAUAGUCUAGCCUAGACGUGACAAAGGACUCAGGUUGGUGGCAAUGUGAGAGAGGAGAAAAAACCAAUGCAAGAGUUGUGGAAAUAGAAUAAACAAGCCUUGACAAUAGACUGAAUGGGGUGGGGCUGGGGGUGUGAGAAGAGAGGACACAUUGUGGAUGAUUCUGAGGUAGACUGAAAGAUGGGUAGCACCCUCAAUCAAAAUAGAGAAAUUUGGAAGAGGGGUGGAUUUGGAGGAAAACUAUAAAUGGGUUCUGUUGUGGACAUGUUGAAUUUGAAAUGCCUGUAAGACAUUCAGGUAGAAAUGUCCAGAGGCAGUUCUAGAGCUCAAGAGACAAAAUACAGAUCUAGGAAUCCUCUUCGUAGAGGUAAUUGAAUUUAUGGGAAAAAAGUAUAAGACAAAGCCUACAAGGGGGAAGGAAAUAGAUGAUGACCCAGCAAAGGAGAUUGAAAAGGAAUGGCCUGAGAGGAGAAAAGCAGCAUCACUAAAACUCAGGUAUAAGGAUACAUAGGAUGCUGUAGUAGUCAGUAGUGUCGGAUGCUGCAGAAAGGAUGAAGACCAAUAAAGGACAUUAGAUUUGGGAGGUAAAAUAUGUUAAGAAACAGCAGUUUCACUUGAAUGGUGAAGUCAGAAGCCCAAUUGAAAGGGGUUGAGUGAAGCAAAAAGUAUAGGCAUAUAUGCAGCCUUUUUUAGGAGUUUGGCUCUAAAAGGCAAGGAGAUGGGAUGAUAGCUUGAAGAAUUAACUGAGGUUUUUUAAAAGGAUGGGAGAGACCUGGGCAAGUUCACAGGCAGCAGUUAAGGAUCCUGGAUAGGCAGAGAUCAAAGACGGCAUAGUAAUCUGCCCAGGAAAACAGUCGUGAUGGAGGUCACUUCAUCAAUAUAGAAUCAAUGUUUUAGAACCUGUAGUAUAAGUAAAGGAGGAAAGGAUAGAGGGACUUAGAAAUGUCGAGUAGGGGAAAGGCAAGAGCUCAUGGUAACAGAAGGCUCUGUUUUGUCAGAGUCUGGGUCCAAGUCCUCUACAAAUAGGGAUGAGAGAGAGAUGGGAGAGGGAUGGUGUGGAAGGCUUGAGGAAAGAUGAGGUUUAGAACACCACCUUGGAGAAUUUGAUAGACCAUUAGGGAAGAUGAUCUGGUGUCCUUGUCAUUGUGCCCCCCUGCCAUUGUAAAGGUCAUUUGCAUCUCUGUAGCUCUAUUUUAGGUCAGUAUUCUUCUGGCUUAUACUGUGGGCUCUAAAACAUUCUAUUCAUAAAAUUCUAUACUGACUGCAAUUCUUGAACCUUCAAAUAAGAAGAAACAGGAUGCAAGAAGGGUCUGUUUUCCACAUUAAUAACCUUUAAUUAAAAGUAAAAAUUUCCACAGAAUGGUGAGAAUGUUAUGUACCAGAGCUGGGACUGGUGGCUGGGAAACCUUGUCAUAGACAGGAGUCCUUCUCCACCUUCUCCUCACUUCUUCCAUCAGGCCCCUUGUCAGCAAGGGUAGUGGGAGGAGGGUAAAUCAGAGUGACUACCCAACUGAAUUACAAGCGGCUGCUGUAUCCGCUGGAGGUUCUGGGCAACUCAAAAGUGUUUUCUCCUUGUUUCUCCCAACCCCCAGUUAUCCUAGAAGAUGCUGGCUCCGAUGUCUUAAUAGGGGCUUUGAGGUCCCUAAAAUGUGAGUAUGUCAUUGAGCCCCAGCCAUGAGUCCGAAGUCUCAGCUGGAAGAGAUCAGUGCCAGCCACCUGCCACAGCAGUGCUCUUCCUAUACCUCAGAAUCCAAGGCAGGAAAUGCACUGUCUCCUCCCUCAGCAAUAGUCCUGUUUCUACCAUGAACGUCACAGCCUUGGUGCUACUGCAACUACAGAAGAACUGUGCUGCUGGUGCCCUCAAACAGGAGCCAAGCCAGUAUUAACAAAGGCCACACAAGCAAGUGCCUCAAUGCCUGCCCAGGGUGGGUCCAGGGGAGAUCAUUGCUAUCCCUUCAGAUUAACAGUUGUAGUAGUAUACAGUAGAUCAGAACUUUGGGUAUUCUCAUUUCCAGCCCUGAUUUCAUUAGUAAAUAAACUUCUUUUCCCCA
Long non-coding RNA from Vombatus ursinus (common wombat), 3134 nucleotides. RefSeq lists it as uncharacterized. The record is from RefSeq and is a predicted model, not a curated record. The transcript is spliced from 2 exons. Lineage: Eukaryota; Metazoa; Chordata; Mammalia; Diprotodontia; Vombatidae.